UACGUAGGCAGCGAGCGUUGUUCGGAGUUACUGGGCGUAAAGGGUGUGUAGGCGGCUGUUUAAGUUUGGUGUGAAAUCUCCCGGCUCAACUGGGAGGGUGCGCCGAAUACUGAAUGACUUCGAGUGCGGGAGAGGAGAGUGGAAUUCCUGGUGUAGCGGUGAAAUGCGUAGAUAUCAGGAGGAACACCGGUGGUGUAGACGGCUCUCUGGACCGUAACUGGCGCUGAGACACGAAAGCGUGGGUAGCAAACAGG
RNAcentral lists this ribosomal RNA (254 nucleotides) under uncultured bacterium. Its description in RNAcentral is "partial 16S ribosomal RNA". It matches the Rfam family "Bacterial small subunit ribosomal RNA", at positions 524 to 776 of the family's 1533-position model. The record is from RNAcentral.